CCAUCGUUUUUGUUAAGAACCCUUUUGUCAGAUGGAGAUCUUAUUUGCUGCCACUUUCGGCGUAAUUGGCGUUUUUCUGCUAACAUGAUUUCUUUGCUAUACUAUGACUUGUGUGACGUUUAUUUUAAUUGGUGUACUACUUCAGGCUGCAUAUUGAAUUGUGUUUGUCCAAUUUAAGACUUCUUUAUCUAACUCGGAAUGAUAUAAAAGCUUAUUUUGACGUCAUUAUCAACAUCAGACAGCAUUUGCUUACAGUAUUUCCAGUCAGUGUUUUUAUUUUUUAAUGUAAAAGGCGGUUCCUUAAUAACAACUCUUUCGUGUAGUGUUAAAUAUAUCAGUGAAUGGUCAAAGGUCAUAUCCAAAUGCUUUCUAUGCACAUAUAAUUUGAAGAGAUAUGUUUGGUAAUGAAUAAAUCAAUAAGAUCUGGUAUUCCAAGUGGAUCUGUUGGCCAUUCCAACAACUUAACACUUGUUGCUCGUUGUUCGAGCUUACAACUUCUUGUUUAUGUCUCAAUUGCUCGACAAGACUCUAACUAGAGCUGUGUGUGUUGCACAAUCUGGCAGCCCUUAUAUAGUACAUCUUUAAUAAAACUUCGCCUUUAGAGCAUUCUGGCAACUACGAAUUCGCUGUCUCGUUGCUUCUGGCAAUUUAUCGUCGGUUCGAUUUUGUUCUAUCAUCAAUGUUCGUCACAGUAUAUAUAAAUGUUAGCAAAAAAUUUAUUGAAAGAAGAAAAAUUAAGUUUGUAAUGUAUAUGGCAUAUGUAUAUUUAAAAGCAAAUCUAAAAGAAUUACUAAAAAUUUGCAAAAAUAGAAAGUGAUAAACAUGUAAAUUUAAAAAAAAAAUAUUUAAAAAACAAUAGGGAUUUCAAUUUUUUAUUUAGAAGGUAAGCAAUACAGUGGUGACUAAUUAAUAACCAAACAAAUAACCCAUAGCUAGUGACGAGGUAACCGGUGCACCAGUUCUCUGUAACCAAUGAAUAACCAAAAAAAUAACCUAAGAACCAGCUUUCUGUAACUUAUAGGUAACCAUAGCAAUAACCAAACAAACUAUUUUAAGUAACAGGUGGCUAACCAAACAAAUAGCCAAUAAUACGUAUUCUUCGUGAAUUAUCAAAACUUGAUAAAUAAAAAAUAUAUCAAACAACACAGAU
Molecule: long non-coding RNA, 1150 nt
Organism: Bactrocera oleae (olive fruit fly)
Lineage: Eukaryota; Metazoa; Arthropoda; Insecta; Diptera; Tephritidae
Source: RefSeq, a predicted model, not a curated record